RNAcentral lists this long non-coding RNA (1374 nucleotides) under Mytilus galloprovincialis (Mediterranean mussel). Lineage: Eukaryota; Metazoa; Mollusca; Bivalvia; Mytilida; Mytilidae. The record is from RNAcentral.
CAACCGCAAAAUUUGUACUUCACUGUUUGAUUUCAUGUAUAAUAUUGUCCUGAAGACGCCACGCUUGUUGGCGAAACAUGUCGACCACAAUAAAUUAAUCACCAUGCGGUAAUUGAUGGGUGUUGUUGUCUUUAAUUACGUUUAUUUGCUUUUAUAGUGAAAGACAACUGUGAAUACCGCGUGGUAUCCACCCGCUAUUACCCAACCGCACGAUAACCACUUCAGGUGUUGGUUCACCACUUUUCAAAUCUAUCAAAAAGUUUAAAAUUUGCAAGCUGUAGUUUUUAUUUAGCUCACCUGGCCUGAAUGUUCAGUAAAGUAAGAUCUACAAACACAUCACAAUCACCAAAACACAUAGACCAAGGUGAGCUACACAGGCUCUUAAGAACCUCUAGUUAAAUGAAAUUUAAGAGAGGGUUGAACCCUUUUAUUUCAAUUUACAGACUAAAUUUACAGUUAAACUCUAAUAUUUGUAUUCUACAUCUAGAUGAUUUGUAUAUUUUUUGUUUGAAUCAAUGUACAUAUUUUAAUGUCAUAAAUUACCGAAUUAAAUGACACAGCUUCAAUUGAGAAAAAUGGGUGAUGGGUGAUAUUCAACAAAUAGCUGUACAAUGUAAUUUGAAAUUGCAAAAUGAUAUUGUGUAUUUUUUUUAAUAUUAUAUUUACCUUACAUUGAUAAAUAUAUGUGUUAAUUACUGGUAUACAAGAAAAGGUAGAAUUUCCAUACCCGCCUUGUCACCACCAUAAUACCUUUUUUUAUUGAGGUUAAAACGUGGUUUUAUUGAUUUAAGAAAAAAAUGAAUAUCACUGACACCAAAGGUUGUUUUUGCAGUGUUGCUUAGGUUUUUUUUACUUUUUUAGGGUGUUAAUCGGUAUUUUUAUUUCUCAUGUCCUUAUAGCACAAUUUCAUUUUUAAAUGCUAUCCAAAAGUAAUAAAUAUGAAUAAGGUUGUUUGUCUGUCAGAACUAGCAUGCAUUUGUCACAAAAUCUAUCCAGCUUUUUCAGUGUACUGAGCUAGUACAGAUUUUUGUUUAGGGGCCAGCUGAAGCACCCCUCUGUAUGUGGGAUUUUAUAAAUUUAUGACCGCCAUGCAACAACCAAACAAUAAGUAUGAAAAACAAGAUAAGAUGUCAAUUAUUAAAAGUUCAUAUACUUUACAGUAAGUCGCAACAUGUGAACCUCUGCAUGCUUUAUGCAUGGUCUUUUGUGUUGCUGACGUUGUCUCAAGUUUCUGAAAUUAAAAUUCAAUUGAGAUUUAAAUGAAGGAAAGAAUUUCUUUCAAAUAAUGCUCUUCCCCAUUACAGUAUUGAUAAAUAUUUUGAUUGACAUUUUUUUGUUUACAGUUAAAUAUGUAUUUUAUCAUAAAACUUUGAA